UCACACAAGAGACCCAAAUUAACCGUAUACGGCGUAAAGAGUGGCACUAUGAUAUCACAGUGACUAGGAUUAAGAUGCAACUAAGCUGUCAUAAGCCCAAGGUGUACUUAAGAUCACCCUUAAGAUGAUCCUAGUACUUCUGAUUGAUUUAACCCCACGAAAGCUAGGGCACAAACUGGGAUUAGAUACCCCACUAUGCCUAGCCCUAAAUCUCGAUGCUUGCCGUACCAAAGCAUCCGCCCGAGAACUACGAGCACAAACGCUUAAAACUCUAAGGACUUGGCGGUGCCCCAAACCCAUCUAGAGGAGCCUGUUCUAUAAUCGAUAACCCACGAUUCACCCGACCACCUCUCGCCAAAGCAGCCUACAUACCGCCGUCGCCAGCUCACCUUCCCUGAAAGCCCAAUAGUGAGCACAAUAGCCCAACCUGCUAGUAAGACAGGUCAAGGUAUAGCCCAUGAGGUGGAAGAAAUGGGCUACAUUUUCUACGAUAGAAAA
Molecule: ribosomal RNA, 498 nt
Filed under: Larus canus
Lineage: Eukaryota; Metazoa; Chordata; Aves; Charadriiformes; Laridae
Description: partial small subunit ribosomal RNA
Rfam family: Bacterial small subunit ribosomal RNA
Source: RNAcentral